AUGCCUGCAAGUUAUAUGGAGAUUUACUACCCUGCUUGGAACUGCAGAUCCUUGAAGCUGGGGAUGGAGUUGGUGCAUCCCCUGGGUGAGACACAAAAGUUUGCCAGUCACCCAGCAAGGUCUCUUCAUUUAACUGAAGGCAUUGCUUGUACCCUUGCAAACUGUCUCAGACCACUCUGGAACAAGUCGGAGCAGCUCUAUAUGGCUGUCAACCUUUUUAGAUGUCUUCACAACACUCCCACUUUGUGCUGUAGAAAUUCCUUGGGGCCCCAAGCAUGUAUCGUUUGCACUGUGUGAUCUUGCUGGCCUGAUCACCUUGACUGGAACUGAGCAACGUAUCUGACUCAAGCUGAGCCAUGGACUCUUUCCUCCAGGAAUCUGACAUUGGAGCAGACAAAUGCCAUGCUGUGCUAGGCAAGGCCCAGGCUGCGUGAAUAUCUGCAGCACUGAUUCUCAACCUUGGCUGCCCAUGGAGUUGCCUGAGACACUUUUAAAAGUCCAUCUCCUACUCAGCAGACUCAUAGAAUGGCGGAUGUCCUAAAUAGCACUCUGGCCUCAGAAUCAGCCCUAAAGGCACUCGGAUCUGGCUGAAAAGCCCAUGAGAGUAUUUCAGGCAUGGAAAGCCAAGACACUCUGGCAAAAAGAUCUCUGUGAGUGAGAUCCCAGUGGAAAGAACAGGUCUUCAAAGAGGGAGGUGCCUUUCUCUGAAGGGAGGAGAGAACCUCCACUUUGACUAUGACCUUAUCUAAACAAGGUAAGAGUCGGAGAACUCAAGGGGCUUCCAUAGCCUUGGAAACUCAUGACUGGUGCAUAGGGAGAUUACUGAUGCCAUAAACAGAAGUGUCAAUUUGUAAAGUCAACAACAGGAGUCACUGUGCACUUACUCCUCAUGUAGGAUAUCUGUCCUUAAUGUGCUGUACACUGAGGCUUAAUGCUAUAACGAGUACUCAAACAGUAUAUUUCACUUUGUGUUUCUAUGGGGGUGCAAACGAUUGAAAUCUUUACUUAAUGUACACUAAACUGAUCUUCUGUAAAAAAAAAAAAAAAGAAAAAAGAAAUUAUCAAUUCCCAACUUGACUCUCACUGGGAUUAAACAUGACAAUAGGUCUGAUCUGAUUUCAUCAUCAUUCAAAAAAAAUCAUCUAUUAUUUUUCACUUUAUGUUUCUGUGUGGGAGCAAACUGUUGAAAUCCUUACUUAAGGUAUACUAAGCUGAUCUUCUGUAUAUUAAGAUAAUCGAAAAUGAAUCUUGAUGUGAAUGGAAGGGGAGAAGGAGUGGGAAAGGGGAUGGUUGUGGGUGGGAGGGACGGUAUGGGGGGGGGAAGCCAUUGUAACCCAUGAGUCGUACUUUGGAAAUUUAUAUUCAUUAAAUAAAAGAUAAAAAAAAAUAAAAAAAAAGUCCA
RNAcentral lists this long non-coding RNA (1402 nucleotides) under Oryctolagus cuniculus (rabbit). RNAcentral describes it as "lncRNA (ENSOCUG00000030475.1)". The record is from RNAcentral. Lineage: Eukaryota; Metazoa; Chordata; Mammalia; Lagomorpha; Leporidae.